GGGAUCCGAUUCCUACGGGAGGCAGCAGUGGGGAAUAUUGGACAAUGGGCGAAAGCCUGAUCCAGCCAUGCCGCGUGUGUGAAGAAGGUCUUCGGAUUGUAAAGCACUUUAAGUUGGGAGGAAGGGCAGUAAAUUAAUACUUUGCUGUUUUGACGUUACCGACAGAAUAAGCACCGGCUAACUCUGUGCCAGCAGCCGCGGUAAUACAGAGGGUGCAAGCGUUAAUCGGAAUUACUGGGCGUAAAGCGCGCGUAGGUGGUUCGUUAAGUUGGAUGUGAAAUCCCCGGGCUCAACCUGGGAACUGCAUUCAAAACUGUCGAGCUAGAGUAUGGUAGAGGGUGGUGGAAUUUCCUGUGUAGCGGUGAAAUGCGUAGAUAUAGGAAGGAGCACCAGUGGCGAAGGCGACCACCUGGACUGAUACUGACACUGAGGUGCGAAAGCGUGGGGAGCAAACAGGAUUGGAUACCCUGGUAGUCCACGCCGUAAACGAUGUCAACUAGCCGUUGGGAGCCUUGAGCUCUUAGUGGCGCAGCUAACGCAUUAAGUUGACCGCCUGGGGAGUACGGCCGCAAGGUUAAAACUUAAAUGAAUUGACGGGGCCCGCACAAGCGGUGGAGCAUGUGGUUAAUUCGAAGCAACGCGAAGAACCUUACCAGGCCUUGACAUCCAAUGAACUUCCAGAGAUGGAUUGGUGCCUUCGGGAACAUUGAGACAGGUGCUGCAUGGCUGUCGCCAGCUCGUGUCGUGAGAUGUUGGGUUAAGUCCCGUAACGAGCGCAACCCUUGUCCUUAGUUACCAGCACGUAAUGGUGGGCACUCUAAGGAGACUGCCGGUGACAAACCGGAGGAAGGUGGGGAUGACGUCAAGUCAUCGUGGCCCUUACGGCCUGGGCUACACACGUGCUACAAUGGUCGGUACAGAGGGUUGCCAAGCCGCGAGGUGGAGCUAAUCCCAGAAAACCGAUCGUAGUCCGGAUCGCAGUCUGCAACCCGACUGCGUGAAGUCGGAAUCGCUAGUAAUCGCGAAUCAGAAUGUCGCGGUGAAUACGUUCCCGGGCCUUGUACACACCGCC
RNAcentral lists this ribosomal RNA (1072 nucleotides) under uncultured Pseudomonas sp. RNAcentral's name for it is "bacterial SSU rRNA". It matches the Rfam family "Bacterial small subunit ribosomal RNA", at positions 327 to 1394 of the family's 1533-position model. The record is from RNAcentral. Lineage: Bacteria; Pseudomonadati; Pseudomonadota; Gammaproteobacteria; Pseudomonadales; Pseudomonadaceae.